UACGUAGGGGUCGAGCGUUGUCCGGAGUUAUUGGGCGUAAAGGGUGCGUAGGUGGCGCGGUAAGUCGGGUGUGAAAUCUCGGAGCUUAACUCCGAAAUUGCAUUCGAUACUGCCGUGCUCGAGGACUGGAGAGGAGACUGGAAUUCAUGGUGUAGCAGUGAAAUGCGUAGAGAUCAUGAGGAAGACCAGUGGCGAAGGCGGGUCUCUGGACAGUUCCUGACACUGAGGCACGAAGGCCAGGGGAGCAAACGGG
RNAcentral lists this ribosomal RNA (253 nucleotides) under uncultured bacterium. Its description in RNAcentral is "partial 16S ribosomal RNA". It matches the Rfam family "Bacterial small subunit ribosomal RNA", at positions 524 to 776 of the family's 1533-position model. The record is from RNAcentral.